CCCCACAUUACCAUGGGAACUGUCUGCUGUGACGGAAGCCCUUCCUAGGUGUGGGAAAGCAUUGCCUUGCUUCUCUCAAACUGCCUUUGGUGGUGUUUCAAUCUCAGACUAAAUGGAAGCAAGA
Molecule: small nucleolar RNA, 124 nt
Organism: Alosa alosa (allis shad)
Lineage: Eukaryota; Metazoa; Chordata; Actinopteri; Clupeiformes; Clupeidae
Product: small nucleolar RNA SNORA24
Exons: 1
Source: RefSeq, a predicted model, not a curated record